Molecule: ribosomal RNA, 1684 nt
Filed under: Triticum aestivum (bread wheat)
Lineage: Eukaryota; Viridiplantae; Streptophyta; Magnoliopsida; Poales; Poaceae
Description: partial small subunit ribosomal RNA
Source: RNAcentral
UUUCAAUCCACCCCCCUGCCUCCUUUCUUUCCCACAUCCAUCCAUCGAUCCCCUUCCAUCCCCUCGCUCAGCUUCAGUCUUCUGUCAUCGUCCUCCCCAUCUCACAUCUGCAUCGCGCCGCCCCUCCUCCCAAAUCCCGUCCGGCGCCGCCGCACCCCACACCCGCUGCUGCCCCCACUCCUCUAGUGCCAUCUCCCUCCUCAUCGAGGGCCGAUACCUCAUCGUCCAGCCACUCUAGCGCCGCCUCCCUCCCCAUCGACCAGCGCCUCAUUGGCCGUCCAGUGCAGCCACCAUGCCUCCAACGCCAGUCUCCCACCCCACCGAGCGCCGAGCCCUCGCCACCCAGCACCGCCCACCUCCCCAUCAAGCACCUCCCCAUCAAGCACCGCCGAGAUUCUGGGAGAGACCCCCGCCGCGAUGCCGAGAAGGUGGCAGGUCUGGGGCCGGCCUGACGGUAGCCAAGUCUGGGUCCCCGCCCCCGACCCCGACGCGCCGCCCCCGCCGCCGCCCGCCGCCGCCCCGCCUCUUCCUCCACCGGGGCGCGCCGCGGGGACAGCCGCCGCUUCAUUCGAGGAAGCGCUGGUCAAAGGCCGGGGUGCUGCCGACGGAUGCCGUGUCGAGUCCAUGGCCAACCACCUCGUCCAAGCCGAGGAACCUCCUGUGGGCUACUUCCAAGCAUGAUGUGUACGUGAUGCAGAACUAUUCUGUGAGGCACUGGUGGUCCUUACUCCAGAGAGGAAAAGAAUUGCUCAACGUGGCAUGCCCAAAUCAGGAUAUGCAGGGAGGUCGGCCCUUGUGCAGGGUGAAAAUCAGCACCAUGACAGUGAAAGACAACCUCCUGGCGGCUGGUGGUUUCCAUGGGGAGCAGAUCUGCAAUGCAUCCCACCGCCGAUCCAUAUCCAGAUCAGCUGCGUCGCCGGUGCCGGUUCUACACAUAGGCCAGGGGAAAUGACUACCAUUCCAGGGUCUCCGGUCUGGGAGCUCGUGAAGAAGAACAACUACUUCUUGAUCAAGCAGUUCGGCAACAACACCAAGGUGCAGUUCAGCAAGGAGCCCAACAACCUCUACAAUGUCCACUCCUACAAGUUCUCGGGCUUGGCGAACAGCAAGACCGUGGCGGUCCAGCCAUCAGCGGGAGAGGACAAGGCUGUUGUCCUAUCCACGACCAAGACCAAGAAGCAGAACACCCCUGCCAAGCUCCAGCACAAGACUCUGAUGCGCAAGGAGUUCCACAAGAUGACCAAGUCUGUCAAGAACCAAGUAUUAACUCCAGAGUUUUGUACUUGAAUUGCCCUUAUGCUUGGCUUCUAAGCUACAACUAUGCUGGCGUUUCAUGUUUCGUCGCGAGCAUCAAGACGAAGAAGUCGGAAGAAGCAUAGUUCAAGCUCAUCGGAGCUAGUUCAAGGAGUAAUGAAGCCCUUGAUGCUGAUCCCUAUUGGAACAAAUUGAAGCACGAACUGUGACAUAUAGGGCUUGUUAUACAGUAGAGCUUGAUGCUCAUCGGCUCAUGUGACAUAUUGUGCACCUAUUGAGCUUGUUAUACUAUGAUCACAUUUGUAUGUGUUGAUGUAACAGAUUGUUGCUUCUUGUUAUUUGAAGUAUUACACCUGUUUUCUGUCUAUUUUGAUUUAAAUAUUGGUUGUUUAAUUAUUGGCAUAUUGAAAUCUAAGGAACAUGACCACGA